Molecule: long non-coding RNA, 403 nt
Organism: Equus quagga
Lineage: Eukaryota; Metazoa; Chordata; Mammalia; Perissodactyla; Equidae
Exons: 4
Source: RefSeq, a predicted model, not a curated record
GUGGAUUUUCCCCAGCAGCAUCCUCGGGGACAAAGGGACAGAGUGGCCGUUAAAGCUGCUGCUAUGCACAGGGAGAGAAGGGACAUCCCAUCCUUCCAGCUCUGCUCAGACUCUGCCGGGGUCUUUGGUCCUCCAACCUUCAGUGGCCUUCAUGCCAUUUCCCCCGGCUCUGUAAUCCUCUGCUGGUGAACUGACCGUCAUCGUCCCCGUGAGUGAGCACAGGCCGAUUUCAGGAUUUGCACCUCAUGGCAGCUCUAGGAGCCCAUCUGACAGGCAAAGAACGGAGGCUCAGAGCCUGACCCUGGCACCGCUGAGGACGGGGAGGGGCUGGAACCCAAAGGCAGGUCCCUCUUCUUUUUCCCAAAUUUGUGUGAAGAUGAGACUCACUGGAUGUGUUUGUUAA